GACGGACGGUACCGGAUGAAUAAGCACCGGCUAACUACGUGCCAGCAGCCGNNNUAAUACGUAGGGUGCGAGCGUUAAUCGGAAUUACUGGGCGUAAAGGGUGCGCAGGUGGUUAUUUAAGACAGAUGUGAAAUCCCCGGGCUCAACCUGGGAACUGCGUUUGUGACUGGAUAGCUAGAGUGCGGCAGAGGGGGGUGGAAUUCCACGUGUAGCAGUGAAAUGCGUAGAGAUGUGGAGGANNNCCGAUGGCGAAGGCAGCCCCCUGGGCUAACACUGACGCUCAGGCACNNNAGCGUGGGGAGCAAACAGGAUUAGAUACCCUGGUAGUCCACGCCCUAAACGAUGUCNNNUGGGUGUUGGGGGAGCGAUUCCUCAGUACCGUAGCUAACGCGUGAAGUUGACCGCCUGGGGAGUACGGCCGCAAGGUUA
Molecule: ribosomal RNA, 429 nt
Filed under: uncultured Pseudomonadota bacterium
Lineage: Bacteria; Pseudomonadati; Pseudomonadota
Description: uncultured proteobacterium partial 16S ribosomal RNA
Rfam family: Bacterial small subunit ribosomal RNA
Source: RNAcentral